This 400-nucleotide ribosomal RNA is filed under the name uncultured bacterium. Its description in RNAcentral is "bacterial SSU rRNA". It matches the Rfam family "Bacterial small subunit ribosomal RNA", at positions 359 to 776 of the family's 1533-position model. The record is from RNAcentral.
GAAUAUUGGACAAUGGGCGCAAGCCUGAUCCAGCAAUGCCGCGUGGGUGAAGAAGGUCUUCGGAUCGUAAAGCCCUUUCGACAGGGGCGAUGAUGACGGUACCUGUAGAAGAAGCCCCGGCGAACUUCGUGCCAGCAGCCGCGGUAAUACGAAGGGGGCUAGCGUUACUCGGAAUUACUGGGCGUAAAGGGCGCGUAGGCGGCUUGGCCAGUCAGGCGUGAAAUUCCUGGGCUUAACCUGGGGACUGCGCUUGAUACUGCUGAGCUUGAGGCCGAGAGAAGGUGGUGGAAUUCCCAGUGUAGAGGUGAAAUUCGUAGAUAUUGGGAAGAACACCGGUGGCGAAGGCGACCACCUGGCUCGGUACUGACGCUGAGGCGCGACAGCGUGGGGAGCAAACAGG